UUUUUUCUUCAUGAGAAAUAAAUUACUGAUCACACCCAGAUUUGAAAAUAAUUCUGCUUUAUUUUAGAUGCCUUAGAUGUUCACCCAAAAUUGGAAAAGUUUCAGUGAGAAAAGGGCCAUCUGAAUCAUCUACCCGGAAUUCUUAUAAUCUUUUACUUGCAUCCCUUACCAUGCUGAGCUUGGUCAGGGUAGCAGAUGAAGCAAAGGGAGAAGGUUGGAUGUAAAGACUGGAUGAAGAACUGCAGAGUGAGAAAGCAAUGAGAAGGUAAGAGAGAAACACUCAUAUUGGAGAACAUCUUCUUUAAACAUAACAAAACAAGAUCCAGAAGGCUUUUCCAUUUUUUUUCCCUUUCAACACAAACUUUGCCAUAGAGUUGAAUAUUACAAUUUGAAGGUAAUUAGAGUAUUGUCUCCAUAUCUUUAUUCCUAUUGACUUUU
RNAcentral lists this long non-coding RNA (438 nucleotides) under Mustela putorius furo (domestic ferret). RNAcentral's name for it is "lncRNA (ENSMPUG00000026911.1)". Lineage: Eukaryota; Metazoa; Chordata; Mammalia; Carnivora; Mustelidae. The record is from RNAcentral.